Molecule: long non-coding RNA, 508 nt
Organism: Corapipo altera (White-ruffed manakin)
Lineage: Eukaryota; Metazoa; Chordata; Aves; Passeriformes; Pipridae
Exons: 3
Source: RefSeq, a predicted model, not a curated record
UCACAAGACUCGAACAUGUAACUUUUUAAAAGCUUUAAGAGGAAGGAAGUCAGCCACUAAAUGAACACCAAACCCUACGAUAAUUACAUGAAGGGGACUGGAGUAGUAUGAAAAUGUGAACUGCCUUCUUGAGAGCUGCAACACUGAUUAUACAGGAGAUGCUGUUAGAAGGACUAAUGUGUUAAAGGUGGACAAAUGAGGAUGAUUUGGCUACAAGACUGUGGCACCACUCCAGUGAAUCAAGAACCUUUAAAGGAGACAGAAAGUGCAAGAGAAGAGGAACUCACCCUUCUGUAUCUUUCAUUUAAUAGUGGAGGGGGAGAAUGCAGAACCAGGAGUGAUUGUGCAUCUUCAUCACAGGAUUUCUCACCAAAAACCUUUAAAGAGGAGACUGAGAACAAGAACAUUUAGGACCAUAAAUUUAUAUUACUUUUCCUCACCCACAAUGAAGAAACUGAAAAUAAAAACUAAGAUAGUUUUACAGAGACAGUUCUGAUCUUUGCCUUUC